Molecule: ribosomal RNA, 602 nt
Filed under: uncultured bacterium
Lineage: Bacteria
Description: bacterial SSU rRNA
Rfam family: Bacterial small subunit ribosomal RNA
Source: RNAcentral
CCGACUCCUACGGGAGGCAGCAGUUAAGAAUAUUCCGCAAUGGACGAAAGUCUGACGGAGCGACGCCGCGUGGAUGAAGAAUGCCGAAAGGUUGUAAAAUCCUUUUAAGCCUGAGGAAUAAGCACAGUAGGGAAUGAUUGUGUGGUGACUGUAGGGCUUGAAUAAGCACCGGCAAAUUACGUGCCAGCAGCCGCGGUAACACGUAAGGUGCGAGCGUUGUUCGGAAUUAUUGGGCGUAAAGGGCAUGUAGGCGGAUGAGCAAGCUUGGUGUGAAAUGCUACAGCUUAACUGUGGGACAGCAUUGAGAACUGCACAUCUUGAAUUACUGAAGGGUAACUAGAAUUCCACGUGUAGGGGUGAAAUCUGUAGAUAUGUGGAAGAAUACCAAUGGCGAAGGCAAGUUACCGGCAGAUAAUUGACGCUGAGGUGCGAAAGUGCGGGGAGCGAACAGGAUUAGAUACCCUGGUAGUCCGCACAGUAAACGAUGUACACUAGGUGUCUGGCAACAAAGCUGGGUGCCAAAGCAAACGUGGUAAGUGUACCGCCUGGGGAGUAUGCCCGCAAGGGUGAAACUCAAAGGAAUUGACGGGGGCCCGCACAAG